GACGAACGCUGGCGGUGUGCUUAACACAUGCAAGUCGAACGGAAAGGCCCUGCUUUUGUGGGGUGCUCGAGUGGCGAACGGGUGAGUAACACGUGAGUAACCUGCCCUUGACUUUGGGAUAACUUCAGGAAACUGGGGCUAAUACCGGAUAGGAGCUCCUGCUGCAUGGUGGGGGUUGGAAAGUUUCGGCGGUUGGGGAUGGGCUCGCGGCUUAUCAGCUUGUUGGUGGGGUAGUGGCUUACCAAGGCUUUGACGGGUAGCCGGCCUGAGAGGGUGACCGGCCACAUUGGGACUGAGAUACGGCCCAGACUCCUACGGGAGGCAGCAGUGGGGAAUAUUGCACAAUGGGCGGAAGCCUGAUGCAGCAACGCCGCGUGCGGGAUGACGGCCUUCGGGUUGUAAACCGCUUUCGCCUGUGACGAAGCGUGAGUGACGGUAAUGGGUAAAGAAGCACCGGCUAACUACGUG
Molecule: ribosomal RNA, 468 nt
Filed under: uncultured bacterium
Lineage: Bacteria
Description: partial 16S ribosomal RNA
Rfam family: Bacterial small subunit ribosomal RNA
Source: RNAcentral